This 949-nucleotide ribosomal RNA is filed under the name Peribacillus frigoritolerans. RNAcentral describes it as "bacterial SSU rRNA". It matches the Rfam family "Bacterial small subunit ribosomal RNA", at positions 1 to 890 of the family's 1533-position model. The record is from RNAcentral. Lineage: Bacteria; Bacillati; Bacillota; Bacilli; Caryophanales; Bacillaceae.
UUUUUUUUUUUAUUCUUUUUUUAAAAUUUUUCAAAGUGGUUUUUUUUUUUUUUUUGUUUUUUCUUCUCUCAGACGAACGCUGGCGGCGUGCCUAAUACAUGCAAGUCGAGCGAAUCGAUGGGAGCUUGCUCCCUGAGAUUAGCGGCGGACGGGUGAGUAACACGUGGGCAACCUGCCUAUAAGACUGGGAUAACUUCGGGAAACCGGAGCUAAUACCGGAUACGUUCUUUUCUCGCAUGAGAGAAGAUGGAAAGACGGUUUACGCUGUCACUUAUAGAUGGGCCCGCGGCGCAUUAGCUAGUUGGUGAGGUAAUGGCUCACCAAGGCGACGAUGCGUAGCCGACCUGAGAGGGUGAUCGGCCACACUGGGACUGAGACACGGCCCAGACUCCUACGGGAGGCAGCAGUAGGGAAUCUUCCGCAAUGGACGAAAGUCUGACGGAGCAACGCCGCGUGAACGAAGAAGGCCUUCGGGUCGUAAAGUUCUGUUGUUAGGGAAGAACAAGUACCAGAGUAACUGCUGGUACCUUGACGGUACCUAACCAGAAAGCCACGGCUAACUACGUGCCAGCAGCCGCGGUAAUACGUAGGUGGCAAGCGUUGUCCGGAAUUAUUGGGCGUAAAGCGCGCGCAGGUGGUUCCUUAAGUCUGAUGUGAAAGCCCACGGCUCAACCGUGGAGGGUCAUUGGAAACUGGGGAACUUGAGUGCAGAAGAGGAAAGUGGAAUUCCAAGUGUAGCGGUGAAAUGCGUAGAGAUUUGGAGGAACACCAGUGGCGAAGGCGACUUUCUGGUCUGUAACUGACACUGAGGCGCGAAAGCGUGGGGAGCAAACAGGAUUAGAUACCCUGGUAGUCCACGCCGUAAACGAUGAGUGCUAAGUGUUAGAGGGUUUCCGCCCUUUAGUGCUGCAGCUAACGCAUAAGCACUCCGCCUGGAGACCCGACCGUG